RNAcentral lists this ribosomal RNA (496 nucleotides) under uncultured bacterium. RNAcentral describes it as "partial 16S ribosomal RNA". It matches the Rfam family "Bacterial small subunit ribosomal RNA", at positions 28 to 506 of the family's 1533-position model. The record is from RNAcentral.
GAUGAACGCUGGCGGCGUGCCUAAUACAUGCAAGUCGAGCGAACAGAUGAGGAGCUUGCUCCUCUGACGUUAGCGGCGGACGGGUGAGUAACACGUGGAUAACCUACCUAUAAGACUGGGAUAACUUCGGGAAACCGGAGCUAAUACCGGAUAAUAUAUUGAACCGCAUGGUUCAAUAGUGAAAGACGGUUUUGCUGUCACUUAUAGAUGGAUCCGCGCCGCAUUAGCUAGUUGGUAAGGUAACGGCUUACCAAGGCGACGAUGCGUAGCCGACCUGAGAGGGGAAUCGGCCACCCGGGAACGGAGACACGGUCCAGACUCCUACGGGGGGCAGAGGUGGGAAAUCUUCCGCAAUGGGCGAAGGCCGAACGGGGCAACGCGGGGGGGGGAAGAAGGGUCUUGGAAUCGAAAAACUCGGUAAUAAGGAAAGAACAAAGGUGAAGGUAACAAGGCACGUUUGAACGUUACCAAACAAGAAGGCACCGCCUAACUACUG